AUUUCUGCCUUCAUCCGUCCCGUAGUAAUUCCUGCACAGAGUGGCAAAUUCGUAAUAAUAUCACUCAGAAGUAAAACCAAGAAACCAACGACGGAAAACGUAUAAAUAUUCGCGGGAAACAAACGAAUAAGAAUCCUCCUCAUCCUAAGACAUGCAGACCAAUAAAAACAAAGCUUCCUCAAACCCUCGUUGCUGUUCUUGUUAUUCUUCCACAAACCAAAUCAAUUCCACUGCGUUUGAAACCCGCAAAUAAUAUACUCAUUGCCUUACUUUUCCCACAAUAAUGGGCUUUAAAUUUCUCUUUCUCACUCGCUGGCUCUUAAUUUGCUCAAGCACAAGUUGGAAGUAUCUCCUCCAACUGCCCUUUGCCGGUUGGUCGGGAACCAGAGUGCCCAUCAAUUUUGUGAAAUGGCAACAGACGGUGCAAAAAGUUUUGCGAGGAGGGACCGUCUCUUGGAGAUUGAGCAGAAGGUUCGAGGCUGGUGGGAGGAGAAAGAUGUUUUCAGGGCUGAA
RNAcentral lists this unclassified non-coding RNA (513 nucleotides) under Hevea brasiliensis (rubber tree). The record is from RNAcentral. Lineage: Eukaryota; Viridiplantae; Streptophyta; Magnoliopsida; Malpighiales; Euphorbiaceae.